CCCUUGGCUAACAUUCGAGCCGCGUCUGCGUCUAUAUCUGCAAUGAAAGAAGAUCGGCACAGCUUAGAAAUAGAGCCACGAAAAAAGGAGAAAGUGAAAGUCGAAGCCCGGUGCGGAAAGCUUCUUGGUAUAAACAGAAGCAGCCAGAGGGAGUGGCGCUAGCCCGGCCAGUUGGCUCGGGAAGCUCCAGCUCGUACUCCAGAGGAAUCCCGUACUGAAUCCUAAUCAGUGAGAGUUCCUCCAGAGUCAGAGAGCUGGGGAUGGUGUCUGGUACAAAGAUCGGACGAGGUUCAUUUACAGAACUAAGAUUUUGGGGGGCUGGAACGGACGAACUCCUAGAACUGC
This 345-nucleotide long non-coding RNA is filed under the name Elaeis guineensis (African oil palm). RNAcentral's name for it is "long non-coding RNA (EGUI_LNC082910)". The record is from RNAcentral. Lineage: Eukaryota; Viridiplantae; Streptophyta; Magnoliopsida; Arecales; Arecaceae.